This 74-nucleotide ribosomal RNA is filed under the name Algoriphagus aquaeductus. RNAcentral's name for it is "partial 16S ribosomal RNA". It matches the Rfam family "Bacterial small subunit ribosomal RNA", at positions 1 to 72 of the family's 1533-position model. The record is from RNAcentral. Lineage: Bacteria; Pseudomonadati; Bacteroidota; Cytophagia; Cytophagales; Cyclobacteriaceae.
UUACAAUGGAGAGUUUGAUCCUGGCUCAGGAUGAACGCUAGCGGCAGGCCUAAUACAUGCAAGUCGAGCGGCAA